Molecule: transfer RNA, 73 nt
Filed under: Mesocricetus auratus (golden hamster)
Lineage: Eukaryota; Metazoa; Chordata; Mammalia; Rodentia; Cricetidae
Rfam family: tRNA
About the family: Transfer RNA (tRNA) molecules are approximately 80 nucleotides in length.
Source: Rfam by way of RNAcentral
GAAGAAAUGGCUCAGUGGUUAAGAGCACUGGCUGUUUUUCCAAAGGAUCUGGGUUCAAUUUCCAGCAUCUACA